This 1439-nucleotide ribosomal RNA is filed under the name uncultured bacterium. RNAcentral describes it as "partial 16S ribosomal RNA". It matches the Rfam family "Bacterial small subunit ribosomal RNA". The record is from RNAcentral.
GAGUUUGAUCAUGGCUCAGAUUGAACGCUGGCGGCACGCCUAACACAUGCAAGUCGAACGCAGUAGCAAUACUGAGUGGCAAACGGGUGAGUAUAAUGUGGGAAUCUGCCUUUUGGUUCGGAAUAACACGAGGAAACUUGUGCUAAUACCGGAUAAGCCCUUACGGGGAAAGUUUUAAUGCCAAAAGAUGAGCCCGCACUUGAUUAGCUAGUUGGUAAGGUAAUGGCUUACCAAGGCAACGAUCAAUAGCUGUUCUUAGAGGAAGACCAGCCACAUUGGGACUGAGACACGGCCCAAACUCCUACGGGAGGCAGCAGUGGGGAAUCUUGCACAAUGGGGGAAACCCUGAUGCAGCGAUGCCGCGUGAGUGAAGAAGGCCCUUGGGUUGUAAAACUCUUUCGUCGGGGAAGAAAAUGACUGUACCCGAAUAAGAAGCACCGGCUAACUACGUGCCAGCAGCCGCGGUAAUACGUAGGGUGCGAGCGUUAAUCGGAAUUACUGGGCGUAAAGCGUGCGCAGGCGGCUUUGUAAGUCAGAUGUGAAAUCCCCGAGCUCAACUUGGGAACUGCGUUUGAAACUACAAGGCUAGAAUAUGUCAGAGGGGGGUAGAAUUCCACGUGUAGCAGUGAAAUGCGUAGAGAUGUGGAGGAAUACCAAUGGCGAAGGCAGCCCCCUGGGAUAAUAUUGACGCUCAUGCACGAAAGCGUGGGGAGCAAACAGGAUUAGAUACCCUGGUAGUCCACGCCCUAAACGAUGUCUACUAGUUGUUGGUGGAGUAAAAUCCAUGAGUAACGCAGCUAACGCGUGAAGUAGACCGCCUGGGGAGUACGGUCGCAAGAUUAAAACUCAAAUGAAUUGACGGGGACCCGCACAAGCGGUGGAUUAUGUGGAUUAAUUCGAUGCAACGCGAAAAACCUUACCUGGCCUUGACAUGUAACGAACUUUCCAGAGAUGGAUUGGUGCUCGAAAGAGAGCGUUAACACAGGUGCUGCAUGGCUGUCGUCAGCUCGUGUCGUGAGAUGUUGGGUUAAGUCCCGCAACGAGCGCAACCCUCACUUUUAGUUGCCAUCAUUAAGUUGGGCACUCUGAAAGAACUGCCAGUGAUAAGCUGGAGGAAGGUGGGGAUGACGUCAAGUCCUCAUGGCCCUUACGUGUUGGGCUACACACGUGCUACAAUGGUAUCUACAACAGGAAGCAAGACUGCGAAGUUAAGCAAAUCCCUAAAAGAUACCUCAGUUCGGAUUGCACUCUGCAACUCGAGUGCAUGAAGCUGGAAUUACUAGUAAUCGUGGAUCAGCGUGCCACGGUGAAUGCGUUCCCGGGUCUUGUACACACCGCCCGUCACACCAUGGGAGUUGGUUCUACCUUAAGGCAAGGUUUCAAACCCUUGACCACGGUAUAGUCAGCGACUGGGGUGAAGUCAUAACAAGGUAGCCGUA